GAUCACCCCUCUUGGUGUUUUCUGGUGAGCUCAGCCGAAGGGAUGAAAGCAGUGCAUGAUCUUGAUUUCUCUUCCACGCACGUGAUGUUGUAUGCUCUCAGUUCUUCUGUGGAAACAGAUCCUCAGGCUUCUGGAGAUCCUGCUGUUUUGGAUCAUGUCAUUGUUGCUACAUUUCCCAUGGGGUCCAGCUCUGAAUUAUGGGUGCAAGAAAAUCUACUCCUCUGAAUGCCACUUCACUGAAUCCUUUCUUAUGGGGAAAGGAAAGGAGUCACUGUUUUUCUAAGCUUUGCUAUCAGUGACAGCCACUAAACACAGUAGCAUUAUUUUUUUUCAACAUUGUUAGUGAAAAUACACAUUUUCUGUGUUCUAGUAUGAACUUACUUCAUACUAUUCUAACUUCUCUGAUUCUCUGAAGCUCUGGGAAAAGCAUAUAUAAACACAUUGUUUUAUGUU
Centrocercus urophasianus (Greater sage-grouse) is the source of this 453-nucleotide long non-coding RNA. RefSeq lists it as uncharacterized. The transcript is spliced from 3 exons. The record is from RefSeq and is a predicted model, not a curated record. NCBI's taxonomy places the organism in Eukaryota, Metazoa, Chordata, Aves, Galliformes, Phasianidae.